UACGGGGGGGGCAAGCGUUGUUCGGAAUUACUGGGCGUAAAGGGCUCGUAGGUGGCCAACUAAGUCAGACGUGAAAUCCCUCAGCUUAACUGGGGAACUGCGUCUGAUACUGGAUGGCUUGAGUUUGGGAGAGGGAUGCGGAAUUCCAGGUGUAGCGGUGAAAUGCGUAGAUAUCUGGAGGAAUACCGGUGGCGAAGGCGGCAUCCUGGACCAUUACUGACGCUGAGGCGCGAAAGCUAGGGGAGCAAACGGG
This 253-nucleotide ribosomal RNA is filed under the name uncultured bacterium. RNAcentral describes it as "partial 16S ribosomal RNA". It matches the Rfam family "Bacterial small subunit ribosomal RNA", at positions 524 to 776 of the family's 1533-position model. The record is from RNAcentral.